RNAcentral lists this long non-coding RNA (1673 nucleotides) under Sus scrofa (pig). Its description in RNAcentral is "lncRNA (ENSSSCG00005009557.1)". Lineage: Eukaryota; Metazoa; Chordata; Mammalia; Artiodactyla; Suidae. The record is from RNAcentral.
AUGUCCCCCAAGGAGGCCAGAGAUGUGAUUGUGAGGACUGGCCGCCACACCUCGGAGGAGAAGCCCAGGGGUGACCACUCCCUGGGAGACACGCUGGGCCCAACAUGGGCGAGACCGGCAGCUGGGGGAGGGGUGCCCAUGACUUGGGGACACGGCGGAGGCCAAUCCCAGGCACCACAAGAGGCCCCACAGCCCUGGACGGGCUAUGCCGGAACCUCAGUCUCCCCACCAAUUAACUACUGGGCAGGACAGACCCUCCCGCGCAUCCGGAGCGUCCCGGCGAAGGUCAGGAAGAUAAACGCAACACGCCUCUUCGCAGGGUCAAACCGCGCGUCCUGCCCCUGGUGACCAAACCCAGCCGUGCCCCCGGAUUGUCUGCUUACUCUUCCUGGCCCUUUAGAAACACGUGAACUGGAGUUCCCGUCGUGGCGCAGUGGUUAACGAAUCCGACUAGGAACCAUGAGGUUGCAGGUUCAGUCCCUGCCCUUGCUCAGUGGGUUAACGAUCCGGCGUUGCCGUGAGCUGUGGUGUAGGUUGCAGACGCGGCUCGGAUCCUGUGUUGCUGUGGCUCUGGCGUAGGCCGGUGGCUACAGCUCCGAUUCGCUAGCCUGGGAACCUCCAUAUGCCGUGGGAAGCGGCCCUUGAAAAGGCCAAAGGACAAAAAAUAAAUAAACAAAUUAGAAACACGUGAACUGCUCUCUUCAUUUGCUUCAAGUUCAUCCCUAUUCCACCCACAGGGUGUUGAGAGCCCCCAGAUCCUCAGGAUCUGAGACAGGAGUCUUUGCCAAACAUAGCAAUUAGGAUGAAAGUUGACCACAGGGAAUUUUCCUAUCAUGUAAAAGAAGUCCAAGGAUAUGCAGGCCAAGGCUCCAAGGAGCCAGCAGAAUCCCAGCCUCCUGCCAGCUUACUGAUUCACCACCCCCUGGGUGUGGCUCGCAUCCUCAUAGCCUAAGGUGGCUGCAGGAGUUCCAGCUCUCACAUCCCGGUUCCAAGUAGCCAGGUUAGAGGAAGGGAGGAAGGGAGUUGUGCCUGCUGCCUUUAAAGGACACUUCUCAGGAGACCACUCUACUUAGUAGGAGAUAAUGGCAGUAGUGACCCCCACUUGGUUCAUCCUUCCCUAUAUGCAUGACAAUUUGACUUUGUCACUCCUCCCAUCAAGAGAGGAAGUCUAUUUCGCCACUUUUUAUUUAUUUAUUUAUUUAUUUAUUUUUUUUUGGCCGCACCUGCAGCAUCUGGAAGUUCCCAGGCCAGGCAGGGAUGGAAUCCAAGCCUCAGCUGCAACCUACACCACAGCUGCAGGAACACCAGACCCUUAACCCACUGUACCACUAUGCAAACUCCUCUUUCUCCAGUCUUGAACUUGCUCUGUCUGAAAGGGCAAGGGCAAAAAUGCAAGCAGAGGCUUAAAAAUACUCGUGCCCCUGGCUUGUUCCCUUGGUGCUGGAAACUCUCUGCCACCUUGAACAGGCCCAGGACAGCCUUCUGGGUGGGGAGGGCGCUUGGACAGAAGCNNNNNNNNNNNNCAUUCUUGCCACUGCAGCUGACACCUCUAACAUGGGAGCAGGCCAUCCUAGUUCCCCCAGGACCAGCCAGGCCAGCCCAGGUCAGAAAAGGGGCCCAGCCAACCCACAGAAUCAUGAGAAAUAAUAAAUCCUUGCUUUCUUAAGUUUUGG